GGGCGGGGCUUAUGAGGAGGCCCUCGGUGGAGUUCACAACUUGUUUGGUGGCCCGAGCGUUGUGCGGGUUUCGCAGAGCGAUGGACCCCAUAGCUUUGCAGUGACUCGCGCUGUGCCCGGACCAUCUUGUGGUGAUGUCCUCCGGGUUAUGCAGCAUGAGCCCGAGCUCAUGUUCGAGACUCUCAAGCACCGUGCUGAAGAAUAUUGCCACCAUGACGAAGACAGUGAUGAUAGCGAUGGUGAUCAUCACAUGGGCAAUGCUACUUUGGCUAGCAGUCUUGCUCGCUCUUUCCAUAACAUGCCUUAUCUUGUGGCUUCUUGUUCAUUGACUGCUUUGAAUAAUGGUGGUUUCUACUACUGCAAUGAGGAUGCUGCUGAUUCUGCUACUGGGGAUGAAGACCAGUGGUCCUAUUGCUGUGCUUGAGAUUAGCAUCCCCCCACCAACUUUGUU
Molecule: long non-coding RNA, 451 nt
Filed under: Jatropha curcas
Lineage: Eukaryota; Viridiplantae; Streptophyta; Magnoliopsida; Malpighiales; Euphorbiaceae
Description: long non-coding RNA (JCUR_LNC002587)
Source: RNAcentral